AUUCUUCUUCUCUCAUUCCAACCCGGCCAGCGCACUGAGUGGAUCGCCCUCAGGACCGACACCCGUAACGACAAAGUAGUGGACGCGUCCGACUUCGAAACCAGCGUAAAAUAUUUACUCAAAGGAGAAAUCUAUACGUGUCAAUUCCUAGUCACAAAAAAGGACUACCUUUUUUCCAUCUCCUUGGUUUGGAUUUUUUGGGGGGCCGCCAUAAGCUUUUAACUCCACCCGAACUGAGCCUCCCUCUCUCUUUCUGUUCGAACUCAAAAUGGAGAACGGCGACAACAAAUAUCUCCCUCAGCUGCUGGCGGAGAAGGACAGUCUGGACUCGUCUUUCACGCACGCCAUGAAACUUUUAGAAGCAGAGAUUGACAGGAUCCAGAAGGGCGAGGCUAAGGAGCCAGAGACCUACCUGGAUCUUUUCACGAACAAGUUCAUCAAACUCAAGGAGCGGGUCCUCAUACCUGUGAAACAGUACCCCAAGUUCAAUUUCGUGGGCAAGAUCCUGGGACCCCAAGGCAACACCAUCAAGCGUCUGCAGGAGGAAACCGGGGCCAAGAUCUCCGUGUUGGGCAAGGGCUCCAUGCGAGACAAAGCUAAAGAGGAAGAACUGAGGAAUGGCGGCGAGCCAAAAUAUGCCCACCUGACCAUGGAGCUGCACGUGUUUGUCGAAGUGUACGCCCCCCUGCCCGAAGCCUACCUGCGCAUGGCCCACGCCAUGGAGGAAGUCAAGAAGUUCCUGUUUCCUGAUGUGACCGACGAUAUCUGCCAAGAGCAGUUCAUGGAGAUGGGCUACCUCAAUGGAGGCCAGGAGCUCGGGGCCAGAGGAAGAGGAGGCAUGCCAAUUCGGGGACGCGGCGGGCCCCCGGGAGUGCACAGGGGAAGGGGGAUGCCCCCUCGUGGCGCAGCUCGGGGUGCGAGAGGAGCAGGAAGGGGCACCCCGGCAGCCCGCGGAGGGCCCGCCGCCGCCAGGGGAGCUGCGGCGCCCCGCGGUGCCAGGCUCUCUGCCGCCGGACCGCCCCAGAGAAUGCUGCCCCACCAGCACACUCCCGCCGCGGUCGCAGAGAGCUAUCAGGAAUAUGCCUACGAUGAAAGCUACGCCGACACCACCUACCAGUCAUACGACAGCUAUUACAGCCAGCCGCAGGCAGAGGCAGAAUAUUAUGACUACGGACACGGAGAGUCUGCAGAGUCAUAUGAAAACUUUGCCCAGGAUGACUGGAACGGCACCCAGCGAGCGGCUCCGGGCAAAGCCGCGCCGGCGGCCAGAGGAGGUGCCAAGACGGCCUACAGGCAGCACCCGUACCAACAGUACUGAAGCGGAGCCGCCCUCCCCCUUACAGGGUUGCCCUGACGAGCGCCUGUCGACAACGGCAGCACUCGCUUUAAGCAGCCCGACACAAGAUCUAGGCCUCGUUGUCAUGAAUGACACACUAAUGGCAGUGCAAUGGAGAGGAGGCUUUUAACCUAGACAACUCGACUGUAAAGGUAACCUAACCCUAAAUGUUUAAUUUGGUAGUGUGCUUUUUUUUUUUUUUUUUUUUUUUUUUUUUUUUUUUUUUGUUUUGGGGGGGGGGGUUUGUUUUUUUUUUGGGUCCUUUGACAUAAACUUGCUUUAAAAGUAGUAACCCAAGACAAAAAAAAAAGAAUCAAAAAGUUAAGGGAAAAAAAUCAACAUCAAUGUAUUUUAUGUACUAAAAUAAUUGCUCUGUGUACUAACCAACCAUCAGGCUAGUGGUAAUGCAACUCUUGCUAAAAUGAUGAAAGCCAAAUCUGAGUCCAUAGCUGUUUUUGUAAUAUU
RNA transcript from Hippocampus comes (tiger tail seahorse), 1801 nucleotides. It is a transcript of the gene named KH domain containing, RNA binding, signal transduction associated 1b, with no coding region annotated. The transcript has 10 exons. Lineage: Eukaryota; Metazoa; Chordata; Actinopteri; Syngnathiformes; Syngnathidae. The record is from RefSeq and is a predicted model, not a curated record.